Molecule: RNase P RNA, 542 nt
Filed under: Synechocystis sp. PCC 6803
Lineage: Bacteria; Bacillati; Cyanobacteriota; Cyanophyceae; Synechococcales; Merismopediaceae
Rfam family: Bacterial RNase P class A (bases 111-542)
About the family: Ribonuclease P (RNase P) is a ubiquitous endoribonuclease, found in archaea, bacteria and eukarya as well as chloroplasts and mitochondria. Its best characterised activity is the generation of mature 5'-ends of tRNAs by cleaving the 5'-leader elements of precursor-tRNAs.
Source: RNAcentral
ACUCCUAGCACCAAUUUCCCAAGACUACGGAGGGGGCAAUGAAGUUUCAAUUAAUUGGGGUCACAAACCACAGCGGCCUAUGGCUCUAAUCAAUGGCACACUAGAAAAAGAGAGUUAGGGAGGGAGUUGCGGAUUCCUGUCACAGGGAAUCUGAGGAAAGUCCGGGCUUCCCAAAGGCCAAACUUGCUGGGUAACGCCCAGUGCGCGCGAGCGUGAGGACAGUGCCACAGAAAAAUACCGCCCUUUUUAGAAAACAGCAACCAGUAAACAGUUAACAGGGUUUUUCUGCUGACUAACUGGUAACUGACCACUGAAAAGGGUAAGGGUGCAAAGGUGCGGUAAGAGCGCACCAGCAGUAUCGAGAGGUACUGGCUCGGUAAACCCCGGUUGGAAGCAAGGUCGGAGGGGCAAAGGUUGGUCUUUUUCCUGCCCCAUGAUUGGUGGAACCGCUUGAGGAAUUUGGUAACAAAUUUCCCAGAUAGAUAACUCCCCAAGGGUGCCUCGCAUCCUGGAACAGAACCCGGCUUACGACUAACUCUCUU